This 301-nucleotide ribosomal RNA is filed under the name uncultured bacterium. Its description in RNAcentral is "partial 16S ribosomal RNA". It matches the Rfam family "Bacterial small subunit ribosomal RNA", at positions 509 to 809 of the family's 1533-position model. The record is from RNAcentral.
CAGUUGCCGCGGUAAUACUAAGGGUGCAAGCGUUACUCGGAAUUACUGGGCGUAAAGCGUGCGUAGGUGGUGGUUUAAGUCCGUUGUGAAAGCCCUGGGCUCAACCUGGGAAUUGCAGUGGAUACUGGGUCACUAGAGUGUGGUAGAGGAUAGUGGAAUUUCCGGUGUAGCAGUGAAAUGCGUAGAGAUCGGAAGGAACAUCUGUGGCGAAGGCGACUAUCUGGGCCAACACUGACACUGAGGCACGAAAGCGUGGGGAGCAAACAGGAUUAGAUACCCGAGUAGUCCCUGUCUCUUAUAA